AGGGUCCAUAGUCCAUGCACGCAGAGAGCAAAAUACAUAUGCCAAGUUCAUCCUCACUUUGCAGUGUCUCGGACGUUAAUGAUGCAUGGGAUGGAACUAAAAUGGGUGAAAAUGGAGUCAAAUUGCAUCAAUAUUCAAGAAGGAAAGAUGAUGAAAUAACAAAUAUUUUUCACUAACUUUAUAGCGUCGUGGAGCCCUAUGGCGCUAUGCAGGACGUUAUAAGGUAGAAUGCUCCAAAUUUACAAAAAACCAGUAGAGCCAGGGCACUCCAUAUUCAGAUCAGAUCGCGCAAGGAUGUCCAUCGGCGCCACAACACCAUCCCAAUUUUAUAUAAAUAUAUAGUUGUUUUUGCCAUUAUGCAGUUGGAACUCCACGUGUUUUCUCUCAUUCGUCUUCAUAUAUAUUUUCUUUUUAUAAGUUUAUGUAUCAAAACAAUAUUCUUCAUUGAUCGACAUGUUGAUAAUGGACUAAGGUGUCGUCAUCUCUAGCUUGGGUUUUUAUGAAUUUCUUUGCAUAUUGCAUGUAUUUGUGAUAUUUCAAAUUAGAGAACUUUAUUGUUUUGUUGGUUUUA
Cucumis melo (muskmelon) is the source of this 571-nucleotide long non-coding RNA. RefSeq lists it as uncharacterized. The record is from RefSeq and is a predicted model, not a curated record. NCBI's taxonomy places the organism in Eukaryota, Viridiplantae, Streptophyta, Magnoliopsida, Cucurbitales, Cucurbitaceae. The transcript has 2 exons.